UGACCAAUAACAAGAUCUGAAUGGUAAGUUUUGAAAUUUGGCACAUUGAUACUACAGGCCACAGGUAACUGGCCCACAUGAGCCCAUAGGUAGCGCUACAGGCCACGCCCAAAUUUACAUGAUUUUCACUCUGUCCCAUAAGUCCAAAUUGUCUGAAAAUUGGUAUACAUGCUUUAUUUCCCAUCAGGAACAAAAAUUCAUAAAGUCCACCAUGAUAGAUUUUCCUGUACACUUUGUCCAAAACUACAAAAAUCUUCUCCUUAUGAACUGUAGGUCCGAUUGACUGAACUGGUGUACUUGUGUGGGAUACAUGUCUUUCUAUAGGGUGAUAAGCAAUAAGGAAUCAAAUAAAAAAAUGACAAACUAUUUACAUGUUGGUGAAUUGACAUCUGCACAUAUCGUGUCCAUAAAUCAAUGGAACAUUAACCUUUUGUACUUGAUCUGUGGCACACACAAAGAGGGCACUACAGUAUCUUUGGUAGAUAAACAUAAUGUAACUAUCUUUAUCAUCCCCUAGAUGGCACUGUUUGUCUUGGAUCCAGCCAAAGCACACUUCAUUUAGAUUUGUUUGAGCAGCAGGAAUAAAUUCAAAAUGUUCAAGUAGUGUUGUAUCAGCAUGAAGUAAUUCUCCAAACCUCUCACUCCUUAUUGUUUUUGACAAUGAUCAUUUGUGGAAAACUACAAAAAUGAACUUAAAAUCUGCCAUUGAUCCAAAUGCGUUGAAAUGUUACAUAUGUGGGAUACAUUUCUCCACCAUGUCAAUUUUGAAAUGGUCUGCAAUCUUGAAGAGGAAUCCGACCAUUGCAGCUUGCAGCUACAAACACAAUUUUAAAUUUUUUUUAAUCUCAGUAGCAGUAUGGUAUUCCUACUGUGUAGAAGUACAAUAUAUCAAGUCCUCUCUUUCUUUUCUUGUCUCUUUAGCCAACUGUUGAUGUGGAAGUCACACUUAGGGAAGUUAAGGUGGGCAUCCUGACUGUGAGUGAUGAUACCAGACAUGAUGGUUUCGUCCCAGCUGAUGUCCUGAAUGUUGCUGUGAUACUGGAAGGGGAGAUGUUCCUAAUGCUCUUGCUAUACUGCUUGGACUACUCUAUGUUCUGAACAUUAACUAUCCCAAAGAACUAUGAUAUACCUUUUGAGGUACUUCAGAGAAUUUUCAUGAAAAUUGGCGAGCUGCACAGCAAGAGUUCACAAUCUAAAAAAUAAAUUAAUGCAGUGAUGUAAAAAUGGUGCAAUGCAACCUUAUUGUUCAGGUUUUUUUUCACAUGGAGCUUGGGGGGUCGAGCUUGAGUACAUAGAAUUGGAACUUUUUCACAUUUGAUAUGGUUACAUGGCUAUUUCACCCAAAAAUGAAAACUUGCUGAUUUACUCAUCUUCAGGUCAUCCAUGAAUACUUUGAUGCAGCUUUUAUCUGCUGUUUGGACUGAAAGUUCUGGCACCCAUUCAUUUGCGUUUUAUGGACCUAUGUAUGUGUUCCGAUGAAGACAAAUGCAUACAAAUCAUGGAUGACCUGGGGUAAAUUAUCAGUAAAUUUUCGUUUUUGGGUGAACUAACACUUUAAAUGGCUUCUGAUCAUAAUUACACAUAGGUUUGUGUGCUUUAGCAAUAUUUUAUUGGUCAACUUGUGUACAAGGUUUAUACUGCGUGUUUGUAGACAGUACAUGUGCUGAGCCUUUGAAGUGUGAUAAUGCUGUGUCUUUUUUUUUGUUAAUUUUAUACUUUUAUUCUCAUUUUGGAUACAAUUUUAUUUAUUUACUAAUAUUUAUGGUAUAAAUAUUAAAAAUAUAUUUAUAGUACUAAUAUUGAGUAUGUAGAUCUAAAGGAACCCAAAAACAAGAAGGUUCUGGGUGUUUCUAGUUCAAGCUUUCAGGUUGAAUACACAAGAAUACAUAAGAAUACACAAGAGUGCAUUCUGCAUUUCACACUUUAUCUGUUAAGUAGUGAGUAAAUAAAUACACAGUAAAUGUAAAAUGGGCUUCAUUUUAAACCAUGUCUGCACUGUUGUACCUUUUUCCCCCAGUGUUUACCUGGCUAUCAUUUGACACUCGUCUCUCUCACUUAGAAUCCAGCAGUUCCUGCACAUUCCCACAUUAUUUCAGUGAUUGGCUCAUUGCUUGCGAAUCAUCACUCUCAUUUGCAUAAUGCUAAGACCAUCAUCGUGCUAUGUUCAUAUCGCGCAGUCAUGAUCCUGACAACUUCCGUCCUCUUUCUUCCUCUCCAUGGUAAUUAGUGGUGUACUUCGCUUCAUUGUGCUUUUGUUGCAUUUAUUGAGAACAGCCCGUCACUUGCACACUGCUCUUAAAUAAUUUUUCCAGUUCGCACGCAGCUAUUAUUAGGCGUAAAUGCGAGUGAAAUACUCGCACUGUAGAGCCCUGACCGGCAACAGUUCAUUCCUCGUGCAUGGAAGGGAUGAGGUUCCACUGGUUGGUGCUUGGCUGAUAACGUUCAGCCGUGUUAAGCCGAUCUACGCCAUCGAAACCUCCCAUCGCGUAGGUCUAUCCAUCCAGUAUGGCUACGUUCACAAAGCAGCGGCGAGACUUCAUGGGCGCCACCUCGUUCCAGGUUCUGUUGAGAGGAUUGAACUUGCACACCGUGUUCAAGGACUCCAUGCCGUCGAAGACACUGAUUCAAUUCAAUUCAAUUUUAUUUGUAUAGCGCUUUUUACAAUAGACAUUGUCUCAAAGCAGCUUUACAGAAAUAUCAACAUGGUAUACAGGUAUUAAAGGUGCGAAUUUAUCCCAACUGAGCAAGCCACUGAGUGGUGACGGUGGCAAGGAAAAACUCCCUAAGAUGUUUUAAGAGGAAGAAACCUUGAGAGGAACCCGACUCAGAAGGGAACCCAUCCUCAUCUGGGUAACAACAGAUAGUGUGAAAAAGUUCAUUAUGGAUUUAUAUGAAGUCUGUAUGGCGUUAAGAGCAGCCGUAGUCCCAGCAGUCUGGAAUUAAAGAAGAUUUGAGCUCCAUCCAGAGGCAGAAAGGAUCUGGAUCUCUAGUAUCUCCAUAAAUUCAUGUGGGGCUCGGUGAAAGGAGAGAGGGAGAAAAAAGAUAAUUAUGACUGCAAAGUAGUAGAACAGAAUCUACCGAUGACGUACACAAAACCGUAGAGGAACACUGUGCCGUGAUAGGCUCGAGCUUUUUCUUCUCUGCUGUAGGUGCACAUCCAGCUGUCCAUCCUCGAGUUGUAGGUUUCUAAAACAUUUGUAGGAGACAGUUUGCUGAUGCCGCCGCCGGCGAACAAGAUGGAAUAUGGGAGCGGCAGGCAGAUCCGGGUAUCCGGAGUUGUCCAACCUUGUUAAUGGCCAUCAAGGCACGGGUGAUGAUGGACUGACACUCCAAGGAGCUGCUGAAAAGCAGGGGUGUCUCGAUAUUUUCCAGGAAGUAUUCCAGAUCUAUCAGAGCCAGCCGCACCUGAUCACACAGCACAGAAAGUGGAAUAGAGAAAAAAAGUGGACUGUUGUAGGAUGACAUGAUUUUCCCUUGGUUCUCUCUGUUUUAGAUCAAAACUUCUGCUGUAUCCGGUCACAAUGGCUCACAUUGUGCGUUCUGAUCUCGGCUCAUGACCAAAGAAACUUUUUUACAAUGUGCAUAAACCCGGCUUAACCAAACUCGGACCUAUCACAGAGUAAUUAGAGCAGCAGAGAGGGUUACAACAGUUACAGUUAAUUACAACAGUAUGUUGAACUGAUUAAGUUAUUUUGAAGGUCACUGUGAAAGUUGAAUAAUGAUAAAGCAAGUAGCAAAGAGCAGUCUGGUGCAUACUAUGGUGCGCACAGGUUGUUCAUAUGUUGUCCUAAUAUCAUGUUUAUGCAUGUAAAUUAUGGAGAGGGAUGCUUGUAUCGAUAUGAUGUGGGAGUAAAAGAAUGUGCACUCCCAGAAAAAGGGAGGUUUUGUCUUAGGCAGUUAGAACAGUUAAAACUCAAUUCGGAAGCAAAAGAGAGAGAGAUUCCUAAAAGUAAAAAAAAAAGAAGCACAGUUUUUAGUAGACUGGAAGGCAUUUGGUAAAUGUCAGUGUGAGGUACAUAAAAGAGAGAAAAAUGUCAGGCAGGGCCCUCAUCUGUUUCUCAGUGUGCUAAGUUACAGAAAGCUGAUCCUGACCUGGACUCCGCCCCUCCACGGCAAACACAAGUAGCAGCAGAAGUGGGUCCCUCAGCACCAUCAUCAGAUCCACAUUUCUGUCCAGCCCUCACUGCGCUGGAAGCCCUACCUGAUUCCUCUGAAAAUGCAAAGCAGGACUUCUCACCACUUAGGACUCAGAAGCACAUGCCCACACCUCCCUAAAGGCACAGGGACCUGUACAUGAGAUAAUAACAGUCCCUAUGGUGGACAUGGCAGGGCCUGAUGAGGUAGUGCUCGUCCACCGGCCCUGGGCAAUGGCUGACUGAACCCAGGAUGGCAAUGUAGCCUACACAGGAGCGAUUUCAGCUCUCCAACAACGACUAAUUUAAGCCGAAUGGACAUGGAAAAAAAAAUAAAAAAAUAGCAAUGUGCAAGUAGCAAGAUUCAGAGGGGAAGAUCCAGAAGAGGGGACAUCAGACACCCAAACUUCACGGUGUACCUGUCUUGAGGCACAGAAGCUCCAGUACAAGUUUCGUUCUCUACACUACAGCCAGACUAAAGGUUAGUCACUCCGUUAAAGGACAGGGAUGUUCCAGGGGGACAUAAGAAAAUAAGAGAAAAAAAAACCCUAUCACCCAAGGUGCGCCGGGGCAGAGAUUUAGAUGCAAACCCCCGGUAUAGCCUAGGCUAUAGGCCUGCUGGGUGAUAGGUGGGACUGGGUGAUAGGUGGGAAACACGAACGUGGGACUAUGUCCCAUGUCCCAGGUCGCGAGUCAUAGCAGGGUCUGAACCCUGCUAUAACAGAGAAGGGUGGGCCCCCCUGGGAUAACUAGAAACCUGUGACUUAUGUUCUAAGUCCCACAGCGCUAGUUAUACCAUGGGCUGUGUAUUUCAUUUUUAUUCCGUGGGCUGUUGUGUUGUACAUGGGAGUGGUUUAUUUAUUUAUUCUUUUAUUUAUUAAUUUAUUGUCUGUUUCUUCCUGGUGAAGCAGCACAAAUCUGAUUUCGGUCACACUAAGCUGGCUUUCAACAAAAGUGAGCUGAAGUGCCUGAAAUGCUUCUAACACUGCAGGAAGCACAUGCCAGGCUAUGGGGCUUCUGUCAGGUGGUUCUUCUUCUUGAGCACAGGCUCACAGACCAAGAUGUCUUUGCAUGUCAAGAAUGCCUUGUGGACACUCGUGGGGAAGGACAACAACGUCUCUGACAUCAGGACAGCUCUAGCAACCUACGCAAGCUAACAUAUAGUGAGAGGAAUCUCAACAGCGCGCUCUCAUCACGAAAAUAAUGUGCCACAGCAAGGGGACAUCAGACCGCUUCUACGUCGCGGAGCUGUCGGUCGGUGAGGUGCACUCUGCCCAGUCCCCGCUUGAGGACGCUUUGGGCAUCAGUGUCACGUCUAUUGAACAACCCGGUGGCCCGGGAGGCAAGGAAAGGCCAAUAGUUUUUGGUUAAUAUCCUGGUAUUUGUGUAAAAAGUGUAUAAUUAACCCUCUUACCCCUAAGUUCCCACAGUAUUAUGUCCCAUAACCCUAUAUUCCCCAGAGAAACAGCACGCCAACCCUGAGUUCCUGGGCCAAAAUCAACAUUUUAAUUUUAACAUUUUUAGGCCUUGAAACAACUUAUAAUGUAUUUGUGUAAUAUUACUUUGAAAAUGAAGCAGUUCAGUGUUUUUACUAAACUUAGAGCACAAUUCUUAACUAGAGAAAUUACGAAAAAAAUGCUCUCUAAAAUCCUUCUACUCAUUUAGAAGUACCAUACGAGCAUCAGCGUGGUCAAUGCCUUUAUAAAUACUAAAUAAAUAAAUGCAUUUUAGUGCCAAAAGUCAAGUUUCUGGUGAUAAUCAGACCAGCAGGUAGUGUUUUCCCGAAUGCACAGAAAUGGUCCCGUUACGACUCCAGACCCCUGCAGUGUCAGUCGCACUGGUUCAUGCUGAAGAUGAAGAUGGAUCAGGGUCUGAAUCAGGAGAGUUUGCGUCUCUAUCGGUUUCGGUUUCAACAUCGCCUGAACUUUCACUGCUGUCACUAUCUAGAAUCCUCGCUCUCGCCUGUGUAACUGUGUAUGUUUUUUUGUUUUUUUUUACUGUUUUAGAUGUACCUGUGUUCACUGUAGGUGUAAUUUUAGCUGGAACACGAUUAGCUUGUCGCUUUGGCAUUUUUAGUUCACUUCUAGUAGUACACUAAUAUUCACGCUUGGAUCUUCAUCAUAAUGCCGGCGUAAAAACGAAAUCACGUCGUGACGUCAUCAACCUUCCGGGUCAAAAAAUAAUAAUUAAAUAAGUAAGGAAUCAUAGCAGAGUAAUGCCGGUACACCGGCCUUACGGGGAUAACGUUUACACUGUAAAUCCUCUAUAUCGGCCUUACGGGGAUUUGGCAUAGACGACCAAGCCGGUCUAUCAUCCUUACAGGAAUAGAUCAAAGACAGGCAAGCCGGUUUUUCGGCCACACGGGGUAAGAUGGUUAAAUAAAAAUCCUCAUGUUUGAAUGAAAAUCUCGCUGCUUGUGUUACUCGACCUUAGUGCAGCUUGAUACUUUUGAUACUAUAGAUCAUACUAUUCUCCUUGAUAGAUUAGAGAAUGUUAUUGACAUUAAGGGAAAAUUCCUCUCCUGUCUCAGGUCUUAUCUGACUGAUCGUUAUCAGUUCGUAGAUGUAAAUGGAGACUUCUCCACGCAUACUGAGGUUACCUUUGGAGUUCCACAGGGUUCUGUUUGUAGCCCCACUGCUUUUUAGUUUAUAUAUUCUACCUCUAGGUCUAAUUAUUCGCAAACAUGGAAUUAGCUUCCACUGUUAUGCUGAUGAUACACAGUUGUAUGUUUCAGCGAAGCCAGAGGACAGACAGAAGCUUAGUAAAGUUGAGGAUUGUGUAAAGGACAUUAGACGUUGGAUGUUAACUAACUUCCUUUUACUUAAUUCUGAUAAAACAGAAAUACUUUUAUUAGGAUCACGUGUAGCUAGAAGUAAUCUUUCUGAUCACAUGGUUACUCUGGAUGGUCUUUCUGUUUCAUCAUGUGCAGCAGUUAAAGACCUUGGAGUGAUUAUUGACUCCAGCCUAUCAUUUGACGCUCAUGUAGAUAAUAUUACUAGGAUAGCCUUCUUUCAUCUCAGAAAUAUUUCUAAAAUAAGAAACAUAUUGUCACUACAUGAUGCGGAAAUACUAGUUCAUGCAUUCGUCACGUCUAGAUUAGAUUACUGUAAUGCAUUACUGUCUGGAUGUUCCAGUAGGAAUAUAAAUAAGCUCCAGUUAGUCCAGAAUGCAGCUACUAGAGUCCUAACUAGAACCAGAAGAUACGACACAUCACCCCGAUCUUAUCCACACUGCAUUGGCUCCCAGUGAAAUCUCGCAUUAAUUAUAAAAUACUAUUAUUAACCUAUAAAGCACUAAACGGUCUCGCGCCACAAUAUGUAAGCGACCUUUUGGUUUUAUAUGAUCCGCCACGCCUACUUAGGUCAAAAGAUGCAGGCUAUUUGACGGUACCUCGAAUAGUGAAGGCUACAGCAGGGGGAAGAGCUAUCUAAGUACGAGCAUAACUGCUUUGCUACAACCUUUUCUCAAAUCUUAGAGAUGAAGGGGAGAUUUGAUAUUGGUCUAUAGCUGGACAAUUGAGACGGGUCAAGAUCAGGUUUUUUAAUCAAGGGUUUAAUAACUGCUAAUUUAAGUGAUUUAGGU
Long non-coding RNA from Ictalurus punctatus (channel catfish), 7715 nucleotides. RefSeq lists it as uncharacterized. Lineage: Eukaryota; Metazoa; Chordata; Actinopteri; Siluriformes; Ictaluridae. The transcript is spliced from 3 exons. The record is from RefSeq and is a predicted model, not a curated record.